RNAcentral lists this ribosomal RNA (230 nucleotides) under uncultured bacterium. RNAcentral's name for it is "partial 16S ribosomal RNA". It matches the Rfam family "Bacterial small subunit ribosomal RNA", at positions 561 to 790 of the family's 1533-position model. The record is from RNAcentral.
UAAAGCGUGCGCAGGCGGUGAUGUAAGACAGAUGUGAAAUCCCCGGGCUCAACCUGGGACCUGCAUUUGUGACUGCAUCGCUAGAGUACGGUAGAGGGGGAUGGAAUUCCGCGUGUAGCAGUGAAAUGCGUAGAUAUGCGGAGGAACACCGAUGGCGAAGGCAAUCCCCUGGACCUGUACUGACGCUCAUGCACGAAAGCGUGGGGAGCAAACAGGAUUAGAUACCCUAG